AUGGCAGGGGCAGAGGAACUUGUUCUCGGCGGCGUUCCACGGCACGACGCAUCCAAGAUGCGUGCACACGGCGUUGAUCCCGUAGGUGGCGAGGGUCUUGUCGGACUCCACCACAAGGUAGGUACUACAUACCUUGAGCCCCUGGGCGAGCGUGCGGUCGUUGGGGCCGUGCGUCUUGAGCCAGUCCUCGACGAGGAUGUCGUUGCCGAGCUUGUCCUUGGCGGCGACCCCUCCGGCGUUGCUCCCGGAGCCGGCCGGGACGAGGAAGGAGCCGUAGGGGACGAGCAUGCCGAAGGUGGGGAGCGAGAUGGCGCCCAGCAGGAGCAGGUUCAUCAGCUCCCUCUUGCUCAUGUCCGGCACGCGGUCCGCGGAGAUGCUGCCGGCCAUGCAGGUGAUGUUCCUCGGGACGCGCUCCCGGCCGAAGCCCAGGCCCUUGACGGGCUUGCACAGCGAGCUUGCGCGGGUCCGGCAGAGCUGCGCACCAACAUGCUCUCAGCAAUUACAAGAGAUCAGACGGCGGCAGGAAGAAGGGAGGGAUGGUUACCUGGGUAG
RNAcentral lists this ribosomal RNA (552 nucleotides) under Triticum aestivum (bread wheat). RNAcentral's name for it is "partial small subunit ribosomal RNA". Lineage: Eukaryota; Viridiplantae; Streptophyta; Magnoliopsida; Poales; Poaceae. The record is from RNAcentral.